CUCGUGCCUCGGGGAGCGCGCGUGUGAGUGGGCGUUGGUGAGUUUGUUUGCUCCCCUUUCUGCGCAUCACCUCGCCGCCCCGCACGCGCGCCAUCGCCGCUCCGUCAUCCUUCACUCUUGCGCAGCGUGAAACGCCCGCCAUCACAGGAACAACUGUCAAGAAACGCAAAACCUCUGCGGUGUUGCAGCCAGGUGGGCAGGGGGACCCUCAUUCACGAAAGGAGGUGAGCCGACUCCUAGACAGAGUGUUGCAACGCUCUCAUCGUGGUGCACCCUUCCGUCAACUCGCCACCCCCUCUUCUGCUUCUUUUCUAUAAAGUGCUGUGCUCUGCCUCUCUGCUUCCCUCCUCCCGGUGGCUGGCCCGUGGGGCUGACGCUCGUGUGUAUCGCGUUUGGUUUUGCAGCUCUCGACAUAUGCUGCGUCGCACCUCACGACAGCUGCGGCCGGUGGCGGCCGUCGGACUUGCCGUCGUAGGGGCCGGCGAUGGCACACGACAGAGAAACUCGCUGCAGCGCCUCUUGCGUGACCACGAUGAAGGCGUUGCGGCGAACGCCAAGGGCACCAUCACGGUCACAAGCACCUACGAUGUGGAGAGCGCCCUCUACUACGACCAGUACAACAUGGCGGUGAUGCCGUGUGUCAGCGGCGGCGCCGCGCGACAGGCGCUGCGGGCAAAGCUAAUUGAGUCUGGCGCCGUUGCCGGCGUCCGGGAGCGGCUCUUAGCGCCGUGGCAGGCGGAGGGCGAGCGGCGCGUUGUCGUGUUCGGCUGCCGCAGCGUUGCGUACCUCAAGCGGCAACUCCUCGCUGACACUACACACUCUUUCCUCAUCGUGGACCCCUCGCUGAAGGAGUUGAUGGGAGCCGCCGCAGCUCUCACCCCGGCGUUCGCCCGCCGCGUCUUCUUUCUGCGCUGCGAGUCGAUGUUUACUUGUCUGCAGGUGCUGCAGCCGGAGACGGCCGACGUGGCGGUAGUGCCUAUGCCGGUGCCAUUCUGGUCCAAGCACGGCAGCCACCGACGCCUUGUUCACUUCGACUUCUACUGCGCGGCCCACAGUGUGCUGCGUGUCCGGGAGGCGCCCACAGACCCCCGCGGUGUUGUCCUCUUCACCGAUUGUGAGCCCUACGCGGCUUUCAUGAUGGAGCACCUGGAGGAGGCGAAGUUGGUGGUGCCGUACACCCGCAAGAACCCAGCCCAGCUCUUCCAGCGGUGGCUGCCACAGGACGAGCUGAUCGAAGACGUCGAGGGAGGCGCACAGCGGCGCCGCCGCGAGUUCCCGAAGCAGCGCGACGAGGAUGUGGUCGCGCUGGCGGCCGCAAAGAGCGGCGCAACGACACCAGACGCGCGUCGGUUGCUUUCCGCCUACAACUAUUCCCGAAAGUACUACCGCGACUUUGCAGAGGAGCGAGUGCAGCAGGCAGGCGGCGUUUGACGCCUCUUUACCCGCUUGCUCACCAGACCAUCUGCCCCCCCCCUGCCUGCCCUUCUACCACUCGUGCACCGCCGACUUUUUCCACUGCAGAUGCCGUCUGUAUUGUUGCAUGCCGUCGCCGCGCUUCCUUCUCCCUCACCUCUCGCCAGGUAUUCCUCAAGCCCAGGUGACGGUUGCUGAGGUUAAUUCUCACGGUGCCUCCCCUCCCCACUCGCGCACAGACAGAGGAUCCUCCGUGCCACUCGUUUCUUCUCUUCUUCCCCUGGUCACUGGCUUGCGCACAGUGCAUCGAUCCCUUGCCGUUUCGAGUGCGUCACUGCUGCAGCCUCUCGCUGCUCCACUCCCUGACCAGCACACCAACAAAGUAGUCGAGGGCAGCGAUGGCAGCGGCGUGAGGGAGGGGUGUGUGCGAGCGCUAUGUUCGAUCACACUUUACGUUG
Molecule: unclassified non-coding RNA, 1871 nt
Filed under: Leishmania donovani
Lineage: Eukaryota; Euglenozoa; Kinetoplastea; Trypanosomatida; Trypanosomatidae
Description: gene:LdHU3.05.0150(CDS-product:hypothetical_prote in_conserved)
Source: RNAcentral